Molecule: unclassified non-coding RNA, 386 nt
Filed under: Hevea brasiliensis (rubber tree)
Lineage: Eukaryota; Viridiplantae; Streptophyta; Magnoliopsida; Malpighiales; Euphorbiaceae
Source: RNAcentral
CAGUUAAUAUCUUUCGGGUUCUCUGUAAUCAAAUAAAUCCAAGCAUUGCCCAUCAUCAGAAACAGGGGCGUUGAGAAAAUGAUCAGUUGAGCAUUAUCAAGCGAUGGUGGUAGGAUCAAUUGAGCAUUGGCUUUUAAAAAAGAAAUACAAGCAGCAUUGCUGCAAUGGAAAAACUUCCAAACAUCUAAUCUGCUUCAAGAAAAUGAUCAACAAAUACAUCGAUAGAGCAGGAAAUGACUCGAAAAAAGCGAUAGGAACUGAGAACAAAAUCAGAACUCAGCAAGACACCCAAUAAUAACUUUUUAAAAGCACCUAGGUGUGUGUGCUGCUUCACUGCAUUAAAAAAACUCAACUCAACUAAACCUUUAUCCCAAAAAUUUGGGGUC